CUCGCUGUUAGUUGCCAUCAUUUAGUUGGGAACUCUAACAGGACUGCCCGUGCUAAGCCGGAGGAAGGUGGGGAUGACGUCCAGUCCUCCUGGGCCUUACGGGGUGGGCUACACACCUGCUACAAUGGUGACUACAAAGGGCAAAUCCCUAAAAGUCAUCUCACUUCGGAUCGUCCUCUGCAACUCGUGGGCAUGAAGUUGGAAUCCCUAGUAAUCGCAGAUCAGCAUGCCUCGGUGAAUA
Molecule: ribosomal RNA, 241 nt
Filed under: uncultured bacterium
Lineage: Bacteria
Description: partial 16S ribosomal RNA
Rfam family: Bacterial small subunit ribosomal RNA
Source: RNAcentral